GAACGUACGCUGGCGGCACGCCUAACACAUGCAAGUCGAACGAAGUAGCAAUACUUAGUGGCAGACGGGUGAGUAACAUGUAGGUAUCUGCCCUUUGGCCUGGAAUAACACGAGGAAACUUGUGCUAAUACCGGAUAAGUCUUUACGGAGAAAGCUUUAUGCACCAUUGGAUGAGCCUGCACUUGAUUAGUUUGUUGGUGGGGUAAUGGCCUACCAAGACUGUGAUCAAUAGCUGAUUUGAGAGGAUGAUCAGCCACAUUGGGACUGAGACACGGCCCAAACUCCUACGGGAGGCAGCAGUGGGGAAUCUUGCACAAUGGAGGAAACUCUGAUGCAGCGAUGCCGCGUGAGUGAAGAAGGCCCUUGGGUUGUAAAGCUCUUUCGUCGGGGAAGAAAAUGACUGUACCCGAAUAAGAAGGUCCGGCUAACUUCGUGCCAGCAGCCGCGGUAAUACGAAGGGACCUAGCGUAGUUCGGAAUUACUGGGCUUAAAGAGCUCGUAGGUGGUUGAAAAAGUUAGUGGUGAAAUCCCAGAGCUUAACUCUGGAACUGCCAUUAAAACUUUUCGGCUAGAGUAUGAUAGAGGAAAGCAGAAUUUCUAGUGUAGAGGUGAAAUUCGUAGAUAUUAGAAAGAAUACCAAUUGCGAAGGCAGCUUUCUGGAUCAUUACUGACACUGAGGAACGAAAGCAUGGGUAGCGAAGAGGAUUAGAUACCCUCGUGGUCCAUGCCGUAAACGAUGUGUGUUAGACGUUGGAAAUUUAUUUUCAGUGUCGCAGGGAAACCGAUAAACACACCGCCUGGGGAGUACGACCGCAAGGUUAAAACUCAAAUGAAUUGACGGGGACCCGCACAAGUAGUGGAGCAUGUGGUUUAAUUCGAAGAUACGCGCAGAACCUUACCAACACUUGACAUGUUCGUCGCGACUCUAAGAGAUUAGAGUUUUCGGUUCGGCCGGACGAAACACAGGUGCUGCAUGGCUGUCGUCAGCUCGUGUCGUGAGAUGUUGGGUUAAGUCCCGCAACGAGCGCAACCCUCACUUUUAGUUGCCAUCAUUAAGUUGGGCACUCUGAAAGAACUGCCAGUGAUAAGCUGGAGGAAGGUGGGGAUGACGUCAAGUCCUCAUGGCCCUUACGGGCUGGGCUGCACACGUGCUACAAUGGUGGUGACAGUGGGCAGCGAGAUCGCAAGAUCGAGCUAAUCUCCAAAAACCAUCUCAGUUCGGAUUGUUCUCUGCAACUCGAGAGCAUGAAGUUGGAAUCGCUAGUAAUCGUGGAUCAGCAUGCCACGGUGAAUACGUUCCCGGGCCUUGCACACACCGC
RNAcentral lists this ribosomal RNA (1319 nucleotides) under uncultured bacterium. RNAcentral's name for it is "partial 16S ribosomal RNA". It matches the Rfam family "Bacterial small subunit ribosomal RNA", at positions 27 to 1393 of the family's 1533-position model. The record is from RNAcentral.